RNAcentral lists this ribosomal RNA (548 nucleotides) under uncultured Glomeromycotina. Its description in RNAcentral is "SSU rRNA". It matches the Rfam family "Eukaryotic small subunit ribosomal RNA", at positions 548 to 1098 of the family's 1831-position model. Lineage: Eukaryota; Fungi; Glomeromycota. The record is from RNAcentral.
UUGGAGGGCAAGUCUGGUGCCAGCAGCCGCGGUAAUUCCAGCUCCAAUAGCGUAUAUUAAAGUUGCUGCAGUUAAAAAGCUCGUAGUUGAAUUUCGGGACCAUCAUGUCGGUCGUGCCUCGGUACGUACUGGUAUUGUUGGUUUCUCCCUUCUGACGAACCAUGAUGUCAUUUAUUUGGUGUUGUGGGGAAUCAGGACUGUUACUUUGAAAAAAUUAGAGUGUUUAAAGCAGGCUCACGCUUGAAUACAUUAGCAUGGAAUAAUGAAAUAGGACGUUUGAUUCUAUUUUGUUGGUUUCUAGGAUCGACGUAAUGAUUAAUAGGGAUAGUUGGGGGCAUUAGUAUUCAAUUGUCAGAGGUGAAAUUCUUGGAUUUAUUGAAGACUAACUACUGCGAAAGCAUUUGCCAAGGAUGUUUUCAUUAAUCAAGAACGAAAGUUAGGGGAUCGAAGACGAUCAGAUACCGUCGUAGUCUUAACCAUAAACUAUGCCGACUAGGGAUCGGAUGAUGUUAAUUUUUUAAUGACUCAUUCGGCGCCUUACGAGAAAC